RNAcentral lists this ribosomal RNA (309 nucleotides) under Triticum aestivum (bread wheat). Its description in RNAcentral is "partial small subunit ribosomal RNA". The record is from RNAcentral. Lineage: Eukaryota; Viridiplantae; Streptophyta; Magnoliopsida; Poales; Poaceae.
AUGCAGAAUCGUUUGGGUCUACUUGUCACGGACAUGAUGCCUAUAUACAUGAUCAUGCCUAGAUAUUCUCAUAACCAUGCUCAAUUCUGUCAAUUGCUCAAUAGUAAUUUGUCCACCCACCGUAGAAUACUUAUGCUCUUGAUAGAAGCCUCUAGUGAAACCUAUGGCCCGCGGGUCUAUUCUCAUCAUAUCAAUCUCCAUCACUUUAAUCUUGCUUUGCUUUUUACUUUGCUUUUACUUUUUACUUUGCAUCUUUAUACCAAAAAUACCAAAAAUAUUAUAUCUAUUAGACCUCACUCUCGUAAGUGA